UACGGGGGGGGUAAGCGUUGUUCGGAAUUACUGGGCGUAAAGGGCUCGUAGGCGGCCAACUAAGUCAGACGUGAAAUCCCUCAGCUUAACUGGGGAACUGCGUCUGAUACUGGAUGGCUUGGAUCCGGAAGAGGGAUGCGGAAUUCCAGGUGUAGCGGUGAAAUGCGUAGAUAUCUGGAGGAACACCGGUGGCGAAGGCGGCAUCCUGGACCGGCAUUGACGCUGAGGCGCGAAAGCUAGGGGAGCAAACGGG
Molecule: ribosomal RNA, 253 nt
Filed under: uncultured bacterium
Lineage: Bacteria
Description: partial 16S ribosomal RNA
Rfam family: Bacterial small subunit ribosomal RNA
Source: RNAcentral